RNAcentral lists this ribosomal RNA (431 nucleotides) under uncultured bacterium. RNAcentral describes it as "partial 16S ribosomal RNA". It matches the Rfam family "Bacterial small subunit ribosomal RNA", at positions 29 to 506 of the family's 1533-position model. The record is from RNAcentral.
GCGCACGCUGGCGGCAGGCUUCACACAUGCCAGUCGAGCGGGCACUUCGGUGUCAGCGGCAGACGGGUGAGUAACACGUGGGAACGUACCCUUUGGUUCGGAAUAACGCUGGGAAACUAGCGCUAAUACCGGAUACGCCCUUUUGGGGAAAGGCUUGCUGCCGAAGGAUCGGCCCGCGUCUGAUUAGCUAGUUGGUGGGGUAAUGGCCUACCAAGGCGACGAUCAGUAGCUGGUCUGAGAGGAUGAUCAGCCACACUGGGACUGAGACACGGCCCAGACUCCUACGGGAGGCAGCAGUGGGGAAUAUUGGACAAUGGGCGCAAGCCUGAUCCAGCCAUGCCGCGUGAGUGAUGAAGGCCUUAGGGUUGUAAAGCUCUUUUGUCCGGGACGAUAAUGACGGUACCGGAAGAAUAAGCCCCGGCUAACUUCGU